UCCACGCUGAUGUACCGCACUUGGUGAGGACAGGUUCUCGCCGAUCUGUACUUGACCAAUAGCAAGAAGUGGUUCUAUUCUUGCUAAAAUAAAAAUACAACCAAACGUUGUAGUUUUAAGAGUUAAGAGGCCUUUGAAAAAGGAAAAGAAAAAGAAGAAACAGAAGAGUAAAGUGCAGAUGCGGGAAGAUAAAUGCCACCAAGUUCGUUGAUUUCAUUCUCUUUCCCUUUUAAUUUCUCUGAAUUCUCUCUCUAACAAUUUGUAAUCAGGUUUAUUUUGGAGAUUUUGGAUGGAAAUAGGCUGUGCAAUCUAGAAGGAGCCACUUGAGCUUGAAUUGUUGUUGUAGUUUGGCUAGUUUUGGAUGUGGUAGAUGAUAAAAUAUUUUUGAAGCUAGGCUUAUUUUUGUUUAAAAGGAGUAAUGGUUAACAUUGCGAAUUUGGAAAUAGGUUGCAAUCUGGAAGGCACCGUGAAAGUGUUUAAAAUGUUUAGGUGGCUUGUUUGGGAUGUAAUAGGUGACAAGACCUUUUGGAAGCUCAAGUUUGUUUUAAACGGUGGUUAUUUUGGAAAGGCACAAUUGCUGUUCAUGUAUUUUUGAAGUAAUGACUUCAACUUUUGGUCAUGCAUAGGUGCUGAAUUAUGAUUAAAUGUCACACGUCCCUUUUUCCAUCCUAGUUUAUGCUUAUUGCUUUUUUAGUUUCAAUUUUGCAUUUUAUUAUUUUUUAUUAAUCCGUGUAAUGAA
Long non-coding RNA from Coffea eugenioides, 739 nucleotides. RefSeq lists it as uncharacterized. The record is from RefSeq and is a predicted model, not a curated record. The transcript has 3 exons. NCBI's taxonomy places the organism in Eukaryota, Viridiplantae, Streptophyta, Magnoliopsida, Gentianales, Rubiaceae.